GAUGAACUGAUUCUCUGAUGGGACAUUAGUCCCUUAGCAGAGGUGAGGAACCUCUGCUGGGCUCAUCUCCUCAUUCACCAGAUGCACCAGCAGAGGCCUGUCUGGGACUCACGCUGGGAUCACUGGCAAAGGCUAUUGGGAGGCUCACAGGUGGAUGAAAAUGGUGUCUGCCGAAAGCUCUUAGGAUGAAAAUGGUGCCUGCCACAGGCUCUUUACUUAGGAUGAAAAUGGUGUCUGCCACAGGCUCUUUACUUAGGAUGAAAAUGGUGUCUGCCACAGGCUCUAUACUUAGUCAUUUGUUGCAUUUCUGGAAAUAAGUA
RNAcentral lists this long non-coding RNA (320 nucleotides) under Homo sapiens (human). Its description in RNAcentral is "HSALNT0023907". The record is from RNAcentral. Lineage: Eukaryota; Metazoa; Chordata; Mammalia; Primates; Hominidae.